RNAcentral lists this ribosomal RNA (1328 nucleotides) under uncultured bacterium. Its description in RNAcentral is "bacterial SSU rRNA". It matches the Rfam family "Bacterial small subunit ribosomal RNA", at positions 28 to 1381 of the family's 1533-position model. The record is from RNAcentral.
GAUGAACGCUGGCGGCGUGCUUAACACAUGCAAGUCGAACGAUUAAACCGCCCUCGGGCGGACAUAGAGUGGCGAAUGGGUGAGUAACACGUGACCAACCUGCCCCGCGCUCCGGGACAACCGCUGGAAACGGCGGCUAAUACCGGAUACUCCGGGAGGGCCCCAUGGCCCUGCCGGGAAAGCCGAGACGGCGCGGGAUGGGGUCGCGGCCCAUUAGGUAGACGGCGGGGUAACGGCCCACCGUGCCCGCGAUGGGUAGCCGGACUGAGAGGUCGACCGGCCACAUUGGGACUGAGAUACGGCCCAGACUCCUACGGGAGGCAGCAGUGGGGAAUUUUGCGCAAUGGGGGAAACCCUGACGCAGCAACGCCGCGUGCGGGACGAAGGCCCUCGGGUUGUAAACCGCUUUCAGCAGGGAAGAUCCAAGACGGUACCUGCAGAAGAAGCUCCGGCUAACUACGUGCCAGCAGCCGCGGUAAUACGUAGGGGGCGAGCGUUAUCCGGAUUCAUUGGGCGUAAAGCGCGCGUAGGCGGCCGCCUAAGCGGGACCUCUAACCCCGGGGCUCAACCCCGGGCCGGGUCCCGGACUGGGCGGCUCGAGUGCGGUAGAGGAGAGCGGAAUUCCCGGUGUAGCGGUGGAAUGCGCAGAUAUCGGGAAGAACACCGAUGGCGAAGGCAGCUCUCUGGGCCGUCACUGACGCUGAGGCGCGAAAGCUGGGGGAGCGAACAGGAUUAGAUACCCUGGUAGUCCCAGCCGUAAACGAUGGGCGCUAGGUGUGGGGGGACGAUCCCUCCGUGCCGCAGCCAACGCAUUAAGCGCCCCGCCUGGGGAGUACGGCCGCAAGGCUAAAACUCAAAGGAAUUGACGGGGGCCCGCACAAGCAGCGGAGCAUGUGGCUUAAUUCGAAGCAACGCGAAGAACCUUACCAGGGCUUGACAUGCCGAUGAAGCCGGGGAGACCCGGUGGCCGAGAGGAGUCGGCGCAGGUGGUGCAUGGCUGUCGUCAGCUCGUGUCGUGAGAUGUUGGGUUAAGUCCCGCAACGAGCGCAACCCCCGCCCCGUGUUGCCAGCAUUCGGUUGGGGACUCGCGGGGGACUGCCGGCGUCAAGCCGGAGGAAGGUGGGGACGACGUCAAGUCAUCAUGCCCCUUAUGCCCUGGGCUGCACACGUGCUACAAUGGCCGGUACAGGGGGUUGCCACCCCGCGAGGGGGAGCGGAUCCCGGAAAGCCGGUCCCAGUUCGGAUCGCAGGCUGCAACCCGCCUGCGUGAAGCCGGAGUUGCUAGUAAUCGCGGAUCAGCACGCCGCGGUGAAUACGUUCCCGGGCCU